This is a non-coding RNA of Paramuricea clavata, 1298 nucleotides long. The record is from the annotation of a GenBank genome assembly. NCBI's taxonomy places the organism in Eukaryota, Metazoa, Cnidaria, Anthozoa, Malacalcyonacea, Plexauridae.
UUUUUUUAUUCCGAAGUUAUUUAUCAACAUGGAAUCUUAUCCUCAUCUGGUAAGUAGUCAAAUACCACAUAUUAUAUAUUUAAAUACCAAAUUUGUGCAAAUAUAUGUCCCACAUAUUUUAUAAUACACGAGUUUGCCAGUUCGGCAAAUAUUUACUAUACUAUCUAUAGUUAAUAUUGCCGUAUCUUCGGCGUAGAGUUUACAUGGAAUGCACUCUGGAAUUUUUUUAUUAAUAUAUUACACUGCAUAAAAUAUUGGAUAUUUUCGAGGAUAUUUUAAGCCAUUUAUCAACAUAGUUCACAAAAAGAUUUAUACAGUAUUAAAAACAAUCCUUCUGUGACUUCUGUAAUAUUUCAAACAAUGAAAACAUUCUCAGGAGAUAUUGAAUUAAAUCCUGGUCCUGUAUUUCUGUAUAUUGACUCCAUAACUCUGUUCAAAACAACAGUCCAACUAUAAAGCUGUCAUCAAAUGUAGUGUUAGAGCAAAGGUUGAAGAUGUUAUCAGUUAAAAUACUUAUACUGUUAUACAUUUUGGUUUUACACAUUAGAGUUAAUUAAACAAAAUUUUUAUAAACACUUUCAAAUAAAAGAAUCCUCACCCUCCCAAACCUCAUUACAUUGUCAUUUUGCUUUCUAACAUAAAUAUUUUUCUUUAGAGAUUAAUACAAGAAUGAAGAAUAAAUGUACUGGAUAUUGGCUGGAUAAUUUUGUCAGAACAACAAACUUGCAGGACUAUCUUACCUAAAUUCAUUAGUAUGGAAAAUAAUUUACUAUGUAACAGCUACAAUGAGUAAUCAUAUAUUAUAUGGUGGAUUUGAUCGAUGGCACACAAUGUACAAAACUAAACUUGUGAUACCUUCUACUCAAACCGAUUAUCUCCCACAUCACGAUUGUUUUUGUGUGAAUGUGCUGUACGUGUUAAACCGAACAGUGUGGUAUAUCAUUAACUGUGCACAGAACUGGAAUUUAAUUAUAUACUUCACUCAUGACCUUCAAAUUAUUCUCAAUUAUUCAGUGGUCUUCGACAUGUUCACCAAAUAUUUUGUGUAUGUUACUCAACAGUUAACAUUGGCAAGUAUAAACAACAAGUGACAUAACUUUUGCUUCAUAUGAUUACAAUAAAGUUUUGAAAAUUUGAUGAGUAUGGAUUGAAUUGACAGGUGACAGUUUACUAAAUAGCCUGCUGUAUAGACACUUUGAAUAUUAAGUUCUUUGUAUGUUUGCAUGGUGAUAAAAUAUAAUAGGUUUUGUUUGUGGAAACACCACGUAAAUUUAUUACUGCAAAUAAAAUAGAGAUAG